AAAUUGAAGAGUUUGAUCAUGGCUCAGAUUGAACGCUGGCGGCAGGCCUAACACAUGCAAGUCGAGCGGUAGCACAGAGAGCUUGCUCUCGGGUGACGAGCGGCGGACGGGUGAGUAAUGUCUGGGAAACUGCCUGAUGGAGGGGGAUAACU
RNAcentral lists this ribosomal RNA (152 nucleotides) under Klebsiella pneumoniae. RNAcentral describes it as "partial 16S ribosomal RNA". It matches the Rfam family "Bacterial small subunit ribosomal RNA", at positions 1 to 148 of the family's 1533-position model. RNAcentral also lists the same sequence under 4 other names. Lineage: Bacteria; Pseudomonadati; Pseudomonadota; Gammaproteobacteria; Enterobacterales; Enterobacteriaceae. The record is from RNAcentral.